AACCUUCCGCAAUGGACGAAAGUCUGACGGAGCAACGCCGCGUGAGUGAUGAAGGCUUUCGGAUCGUAGAACACUGUUGUUUGGGAAGAACUAGUAUCGGAGUCACUGCCGGUACCUUGACGGUACCUGACGAGAAAGCCACCGCUAACUACGUGCCACCCGCCGCGGUAAUACGUAGGUUGCAAGCGGUGUCAGGCUUUAUUGGGCGUAAAGCGCGCACAGGCGGUCUUUUAAGUCUGAUGUGAAAUCUUACAGCUUAACUGUAAGCGGUCAUUGGAAACUGGGAGACUUGAGUGCAGAAGAGGAGAGUGGAAUUCCAUGUGUAGCGGUGAAAUGCGUAGAGAUAUGGAGGAACACCAGUGGCGAAGGCGACUCUCUGGUCUGUAACUGACACUGAGGCGCGAAAGCGUGGGGAUCAAACA
Molecule: ribosomal RNA, 422 nt
Filed under: uncultured bacterium
Lineage: Bacteria
Description: partial 16S ribosomal RNA
Rfam family: Bacterial small subunit ribosomal RNA
Source: RNAcentral